Molecule: long non-coding RNA, 637 nt
Filed under: Taeniopygia guttata (zebra finch)
Lineage: Eukaryota; Metazoa; Chordata; Aves; Passeriformes; Estrildidae
Description: lncRNA (ENSTGUG00000024901.1)
Source: RNAcentral
UAUGAUGAUAAAGGUAAUGAACUUCUGAAUCAUACUAAGCUGAAGCAGCGAAUGCCAGUAACUACCACUCGCAAGGCCUGGAGGCUGAGGAAGGUGCUCUCAGAAACACGGGAUCUUCAGUAACAUUCUCUAAGUCUGAUCUACUGGAAAGGCAGACAAAUAGAAGGAUCACCUGGCAAUUCAAUCACAAGUUCUUGAGAGACUGAUUGUCAAUCACCCAUGUCAUGCGUUCAAAUCAACUCUUGAUCCUCUCCCCACUUGCAGACUACUUUGGAUCAUUGUUCCUGACUCAGCACCCACUGCCCAGUUGUCUUUGAUGCAAACCCAGGGUGAGCCAUCAAUUGGUAUCAGUCCUGGAAGAUCUAGAGUUCAUUUCCUAUUGACACAAUGUAACGUAUCAUCAGAUAGUACUUUUUUUUAUAAUCAUCAGAAUUUGGAGUUACCUGAAAAGACUUUAAUGCCCCCAUUUAGAUUGGCUGCUCUGCAUCAUCACACGGAAGAGGUAAGAUGGCCACUGCAUAAGGGUUUUGGUUUACAAAGUCCUAUGAUGAGUUUAUAAUUAUUUACAUCUCAGCUGUCUUAUAUCCAGCCGGGUGUAAGCUGUAAGGGCCUGUUUCAAAGCAGAAGAUUUAUGUUU